This 495-nucleotide ribosomal RNA is filed under the name uncultured bacterium. RNAcentral's name for it is "partial 16S ribosomal RNA". It matches the Rfam family "Bacterial small subunit ribosomal RNA", at positions 30 to 507 of the family's 1533-position model. The record is from RNAcentral.
UGAACGCUGGCGGCGUGCCUAAUACAUGCAAGUCGAGCGAACAGACGAGGAGCUUGCUCCUCUGACGUUAGCGGCGGACGGGUGAGUAACACGUGGAUAACCUACCUAUAAGACUGGGAUAACUUCGGGAAACCGGAGCUAAUACCGGAUAAUAUAUUGAACCGCAUGGUUCAAUGGUGAAAGACGGUUUUGCUGUCACUUAUAGAUGGAUCCGCGCCGCAUUAGCUAGUUGGUAAGGUAACGGCUUACCAAGGCAACGAUGCGUAGCCGACCUGAGAGGGUGAUCGGCCACACUGGAACUGAGACACGGUCCAGACUCCUACGGGAGGCAGCAGUAGGGAAUCUUCCGCAAUGGGCGAAAGCCUGACGGAGCAACGCCGCGUGAGUGAUGAAGGUCUUCGGAUCGUAAAACUCUGUUAUUAGGGAAGAACAAAUGUGUAAGUAACUAUGCACGUCUUGACGGUACCUAAUCAGAAAGCCACGGCUAACUACGUG